CCUACGGGAGGCAGCAGUGAGGAAUAUUGGUCAAUGGGAGAGAUCCUGAACCAGCCAAGCCGCGUGAGGGAAGACGGCCCUAUGGGUUGUAAACCUCUUUUGUCGGAGAACAAAACCCGGGACGUGUCCCGGACUGCGUGUAUCCGAAGAAAAAGCAUCGGCUAACUCCGUGCCAGCAGCCGCGGUAAUACGGAGGAUGCGAGCGUUAUCCGGAUUUAUUGGGUUUAAAGGGUGCGUAGGCGGUCCGUUAAGUCAGCGGUAAAAUGGCGGGGCUCAACCCCGUCGGGCCGUUGAAACUGGCAGACUUGAGUGGGCGAGAAGUACGCGGAAUGCGCGGUGUAGGGGUGAAAUGCAUAGAGAUCGCGCAGAACUCCGAUUGCGAAGGCAGCGUACCGGCGCCAGACUGACGCUGAGGCACGAAAGCGUGGGGAUCGAACAGGAUUAGAUACCCCAGUAGUC
Molecule: ribosomal RNA, 459 nt
Filed under: uncultured bacterium
Lineage: Bacteria
Description: partial 16S ribosomal RNA
Rfam family: Bacterial small subunit ribosomal RNA
Source: RNAcentral